GAGGAAGGCGGGCGGCGUGCCUAAUACAUGCAAGUCGAGCGAACAGAUGAGGAGCUUGCUCCUCUGACGUUAGCGGCGGACGGGUGAGUAACACGUGGAUAACCUACCUAUAAGACUGGGAUAACUUCGGGAAACCGGAGCUAAUACCGGAUAAUAUAUUGAACCGCAUGGUUCAAUAGUGAAAGACGGUUUUGCUGUCACUUAUAGAUGGAUCCGCGCCGCAUUAGCUAGUUGGUAAGGUAACGGCUUACCAAGGCAACGAUGCGUAGCCGACCUGAGAGGGUGAUCGGCCACACUGGAACUGAGACACGGUCCAGACUCCUACGGGAGGCAGCAGUAGGGAAUCUUCCGCAAUGGGCGAAAGCUUGACGGAGCAACGCCGCGUGAGUGAUGAAGGUCUUCGGAUCGUAAAACUCUGUUAUUAGGGAAGAACAAAUGUGUAAGUAACUAUGCACGUCUUGACGGUACCUAAUCAGAAAGCCACGGCUAACUACGUG
This 497-nucleotide ribosomal RNA is filed under the name uncultured bacterium. Its description in RNAcentral is "partial 16S ribosomal RNA". It matches the Rfam family "Bacterial small subunit ribosomal RNA", at positions 28 to 507 of the family's 1533-position model. The record is from RNAcentral.